This 98-nucleotide small nuclear RNA is filed under the name Chinchilla lanigera (long-tailed chinchilla). Lineage: Eukaryota; Metazoa; Chordata; Mammalia; Rodentia; Chinchillidae. The record is from RNAcentral.
GUGCUCGCGUUGGCAGCACAUAUACUAAAAUUAGAACGAUACAGAGAAGAUUAGCAUGGCCCCUGCGCACGCAAAUUCGUGAAGCGUUCCAUAUUUUU